GCCAACGUAGCUCAGUGGCAGAGCGGGCGCUUCAUAAGCGCUAGGUCAUAGGUUCGAAACCUAUCGUUGGCA
Molecule: transfer RNA, 72 nt
Filed under: Chloroflexota bacterium
Lineage: Bacteria; Bacillati; Chloroflexota
Description: Chloroflexi bacterium (freshwater metagenome) tRNA-Met
Rfam family: tRNA
About the family: Transfer RNA (tRNA) molecules are approximately 80 nucleotides in length. Their secondary structure includes four short double-helical elements and three loops (D, anti-codon, and T loops). Further hydrogen bonds mediate the characteristic L-shaped molecular structure. tRNAs have two regions of fundamental functional importance: the anti-codon, which is responsible for specific mRNA codon recognition, and the 3' end, to which the tRNAs corresponding amino acid is attached (by aminoacyl-tRNA synthetases). tRNAs cope with the degeneracy of the genetic code in two manners: having more than one tRNA (with a specific anti-codon) for a particular amino acid; and 'wobble' base-pairing, i.e. permitting non-standard base-pairing at the 3rd anti-codon position.
Source: RNAcentral